This 479-nucleotide ribosomal RNA is filed under the name uncultured bacterium. Its description in RNAcentral is "bacterial SSU rRNA". It matches the Rfam family "Bacterial small subunit ribosomal RNA", at positions 28 to 498 of the family's 1533-position model. The record is from RNAcentral.
GAUGAACGCUAGCGGCGGGCCUAAUACAUGCAAGUUGAACGGGAUUGUUGGUAGCAAUAUUGACAUGAGAGUGGCGCACGGGUGCGUAACACGUAUGUAACCUACCUUUAACUGGGGCAUAGCUUCGAGAAAUCGAAAUUAAUACCCCAUAACAUUUAGAAAAGGCAUCUUUUCUUUAUCAAAGCUCAGGCGGUUAAGGAUGGACAUGCGGUGCAUUAGCUUGUUGGUGAGGUAACGGCUCACCAAGGCUACGAUGCAUAGGGGGUCUGAGAGGAUGAUCCCCCACACUGGUACUGAGACACGGACCAGACUCCUACGGGAGGCAGCAGUAGGGAAUAUUGGGCCAAUGGACGAAAGUCUGACCCAGCCCACGCCGCGUGAAGGAUUGAAUGCCCUCUGGGUUGUAAACUUCUUUUGUAUGGGAAGAAAACUUCGAACGUGUUCGGAGCUGACGGUACCAUAAGAAUAAGCAAUCGGCU